UAAAAAAAGGUAAGCUACUAAGAGCGAAUGGUGGAUGCCUUGACUGGUAAAGGCGAUGAAGGACGUACUAGACUGCGAUAAGCUACGGGGAGCUGUCAAGAAGCUUUGAUCCGUAGAUUUCCGAAUGGGGCAACCCAAUGUAUAGAGAUAUACAUUACCUAUAUAGGAGCGAACGAGGGGAAUUGAAACAUCUUAGUACCCUCAGGAAAAGAAAUCAAUAGAGAUUGCGUCAGUAGCGGCGAGCGAAAGCGCAAGAGGGCAAACCCAGUGCUUGCACUGGGGGUUGUAGGACUGCAAUGUGCAAGAGCUGAGUUUAGCAGAACAUUCUGGAAAGUAUAGCCAUAGAGGGUGAUAGUCCCGUAUGCGAAAAACAAAGCUUAGCUAGCAGUAUCCUGAGUAGGGCGGGACACGAGGAAUCCUGUCUGAAUCCGGGUCGACCACGAUCCAACCCUAAAUACUAAUACCAGAUCGAUAGUGCACAAGUACCGUGAGGGAAAGGUGAAAAGAACUGAGGUGAUCAGAGUGAAAUAGAACCUGAAACCAUUUGCUUACAAUCAUUCAGAGCACUAUGUAGCAAUACAGUGUGAUGGACUGCCUUUUGCAUAAUGAGCCUGCGAGUUGUGGUGUCUGGCAAGGUUAAGCAAACGCGAAGCCGUAGCGAAAGCGAGUCUGAAUAGGGCGCUUAGUCAGAUGCUGCAGACCCGAAACGAAGUGAUCUAUCCAUGAGCAAGUUGAAGCUAGUGUAAGAACUAGUGGAGGACUGAACCCAUAGGCGUUGAAAAGCCCCGGGAUGACUUGUGGAUAGGGGUGAAAGGCCAAUCAAACUUCGUGAUAGCUGGUUCUCUCCGAAAUAUAUUUAGGUAUAGCGUUGUGUCGUAAUAUAAGGGGGUAGAGCACUGAAUGGGCUAGGGCAUACACCAAUGUACCAAACCCUAUCAAACUCCGAAUACCUUAUAUGUAAUCACAGCAGUCAGGCGGCGAGUGAUAAAAUCCGUCGUCAAGAGGGAAACAACCCAGACUACCAGCUAAGGUCCCUAAAUCUUACUUAAGUGGAAAACGAUGUGAAGUUACUUAAACAACCAGGAGGUUGGCUUAGAAGCAGCCAUCCUUUAAAGAAAGCGUAAUAGCUCACUGGUCUAGUGAUUUUGCGCGGAAAAUAUAACGGGGCUAAAGUAAGUACCGAAGCUGUAGACUUGCACACAACUUAGAUUAUUUAAGUUUAGAAUAAGUAGUUUAAGUUGUGUGCAAGUGGUAGGAGAGCGUUCUAUUUGCGUCGAAGGUAUACCGGUAAGGAGUGCUGGAGCGAAUAGAAGUGAGCAUGCAGGCAUGAGUAGCGAUAAUUAAUGUGAGAAUCAUUAACGCCGUAAACCCAAGGUUUCCUACGCGAUGCUCGUCAUCGUAGGGUUAGUCGGGUCCUAAGUCGAGUCCGAAAGGGGUAGACGAUGGCAAAUUGGUUAAUAUUCCAAUACCAACAUUAGUGUGCGAUGGAAGGACGCUUAGGGCUAAGGGGGCUAGCGGAUGGAAGUGCUAGUCUAAGGUUGUAGGAGGUUAUACAGGCAAAUCCGUAUAACAAUACUCCGAGAACUGAAAGGCUUUUUGAAGUCUUCGGAUGGAUAGAAGAACCCCUGAUGCCGUCGAGCCAAGAAAAGUUUCUAAGUUUAGCUAAUGUUGCCCGUACCGUAAACCGACACAGGUGGGUGGGAUGAGUAUUCUAAGGCGCGUGGAAGAACUCUCUUUAAGGAACUCUGCAAAAUAGCACCGUAUCUUCGGUAUAAGGUGUG
RNAcentral lists this ribosomal RNA (1781 nucleotides) under Campylobacter jejuni. Its description in RNAcentral is "partial 23S ribosomal RNA". It matches the Rfam family "Bacterial large subunit ribosomal RNA", at positions 1 to 1750 of the family's 2925-position model. Lineage: Bacteria; Pseudomonadati; Campylobacterota; Epsilonproteobacteria; Campylobacterales; Campylobacteraceae. The record is from RNAcentral.